UCAGGCCUAACACAUGCAAGUCGAGCGGUAGCGGGAAGAGCUUGCUCUUUGCCGACGAGCGGCGGACGGGUGCGUAACACGUAGGAAUCUGCCUGGUAGUGGGGGAUAGCCCGGAGAAAUCCGGAUUAAUACCGCAUACGCCCUACGGGGGAAAGCAGGGGAUCUUCGGACCUUGCGCUAUCAGAUGAGCCUGCGUCGGAUUAGCUGGUUGGUGGGGUAAAGGCCUACCAAGGCGACGAUCCGUAGCUGGUCUGAGAGGAUGAUCAGCCACACUGGGACUGAGACACGGCCCAGACUCCUACGGGAGGCAGCAGUGGGGAAUAUUGCACAAUGGGCGAAAGCCUGAUGCAGCCAUGCCGCGUGUGUGAAGAAGGCCCUAGGGUUGUAAAGCACUUUCAGUGGGGAGGAAAGGUUGAAGGUUAAUACCCUUCAGCUGUGACGUUACCCACAGAAGAAGCACCGGCUAACUCCGUGCCAGCAGCCGCGGUAAUACGGAGGGUGCGAGCGUUAAUCGGAAUUACUGGGCGUAAAGCGUGCGUAGGCGGCUACCUAAGUUGGAUGUGAAAGCCCCGGGCUCAACCUGGGAACUGCAUCCAAAACUGGGUGGCUAGAGUACGGGAGAGGAGUGUGGAAUUUCCUGUGUAGCGGUG
RNAcentral lists this ribosomal RNA (650 nucleotides) under uncultured bacterium. RNAcentral describes it as "bacterial SSU rRNA". It matches the Rfam family "Bacterial small subunit ribosomal RNA", at positions 42 to 683 of the family's 1533-position model. The record is from RNAcentral.